CACGCCGUAAACGAUGAUAACUAGCUGUCCGGGCACUUGGUGCUUGGGUGGCGCAGCUAACGCAUUAAGUUAUCCGCCUGGGGAGUACGGCCGCAAGGUUAAAACUCAAAGAAAUUGACGGGGGCCUGCACAAGCGGUGGAGCAUGUGGUUUAAUUCGAAGCAACGCGCAGAACCUUACCAACGUUUGACAUCCUGAUCGCGGUUACCAGAGAUGGUUUCCUUCAGUUCGGCUGGAUCAGUGACAGGUGC
Molecule: ribosomal RNA, 250 nt
Filed under: uncultured Sphingomonadaceae bacterium
Lineage: Bacteria; Pseudomonadati; Pseudomonadota; Alphaproteobacteria; Sphingomonadales; Sphingomonadaceae
Description: partial 16S ribosomal RNA
Rfam family: Bacterial small subunit ribosomal RNA
Source: RNAcentral